RNAcentral lists this ribosomal RNA (253 nucleotides) under uncultured bacterium. Its description in RNAcentral is "partial 16S ribosomal RNA". It matches the Rfam family "Bacterial small subunit ribosomal RNA", at positions 524 to 776 of the family's 1533-position model. The record is from RNAcentral.
UACGUAGGGUGCGAGCGUUAAUCGGAAUUACUGGGCGUAAAGGGCGCGUAGGCGGCCUUGUAAGUCAGGUGUGAAAGCCCUGGGCUCAACCUGGGAAUUGCAUUUGAUACUGCGAGGCUAGAGAGCGGGAGAGGAUGGUGGAAUUCCCAGUGUAGAGGUGAAAUUCGUAGAUAUUGGGAAGAACACCGGUGGCGAAGGCGGCCAUCUGGACGGCGACUGACGCUGAGGCACGAAAGCGUGGGGAGCAAACAGG